CAAGUCACCAAGUAUCCCUAUAGCUUUUAAUGCUUUGUAUCUUUUCCAUUUGCAAGUUAUAGAUUCCCACCUGUGCAUUUACAUAUGCCCCUAUAAUCAUCAUAUAUUUUACAGGUAACAAACCAAAUGAAGAAGGCUGCCGCAUUACUGUGUCAACCGUGCCCAGUGUCAGUGAAGAUGGCGUGGUCAGUGCAAUCAUGGUGUUUGUGGGAAAUAGAGGAACCUUGCCCAGCUUUCUACUACGGUGUGACCCUGAUGAGGUAUUUUUUUCUGACUUUCCUGCCUCUUUGGAACAAAUCCAUUCACAUUUACUUUGGAGAGCACCGGGACAUUGACAUAAACAGCACUUUCCAACUACUUCAAAACAUUUGGUGACAAAUGAUUUUGGUUUUCUUGUU
Long non-coding RNA from Rhinichthys klamathensis goyatoka, 398 nucleotides. RefSeq lists it as uncharacterized. The transcript has 3 exons. Lineage: Eukaryota; Metazoa; Chordata; Actinopteri; Cypriniformes; Leuciscidae. The record is from RefSeq and is a predicted model, not a curated record.